Molecule: ribosomal RNA, 460 nt
Filed under: uncultured bacterium
Lineage: Bacteria
Description: partial 16S ribosomal RNA
Rfam family: Bacterial small subunit ribosomal RNA
Source: RNAcentral
CCUACGGGAGGCAGCAGUGAGGAAUAUUGGUCAAUGGGCGGGAGCCUGAACCAGCCAAGUCGCGUGAGGGAAGACGGUCCUAUGGAUUGUAAACCUCUUUAGGCGGGGAGCAAUGCCGGGCACGCGUGCCCGGAGGGAGAGUACCCGCAGAAUAAGCAUCGGCAAACCACGGGCCAGCAGCCGCGGUAAUACGGAGGAUGCGAGCGUUAUCCGGAUUUAUGGGGGUAAAGGGGUGUGAUGGGGGAUUUUUAAGUCAGCGGUAAAAUGUCCGGGCUCAACCCGGGCCGGCCGUUGAUACUGGGGAUCUUGAGUGGGCGAGAGGUAUGCGGAAUGCGUGGUGUAGCGGUGAAAUGCGUAGAUAUCACGCAGAACUCCGAUUGCGAAGGCAGCAUACCGGCGCCCGACUGACGCUGAGGCACGAAAGCGUGGGGAUCGAACAGGAUUAGAUACCCCAGUAGUC